This is a long non-coding RNA of Heterocephalus glaber (naked mole-rat), 1013 nucleotides long. RefSeq lists it as uncharacterized. The record is from RefSeq and is a predicted model, not a curated record. Lineage: Eukaryota; Metazoa; Chordata; Mammalia; Rodentia; Bathyergidae.
UUAUCCCCAAAGACAAGGGUGCCAGCAGACACAACACCCUUCAGCUGCUGAGAUGAAGCAAUUGCCAAGCAAUUGUAUGUCUAACAAAAGAUAUCCUUGAGAAUGCAGGUGAAAUAUUCUUAGAUCAAGGAAAAAUAAGAAUCUGUCAUGAGAACACCUGCUGUAAAAGAAGGGAAAUGGAAGGCCUUCGAAUGGAAAGGAAACUUGGGACAUCAGUAUGGUAGAUAUCUGGGGAAAUGUAUAAUGGACUACUCUCCAUUUAAAAAACUGACAGUUUAAAAAUGGCAGUUACAAACUGACAGUUACGUGAUUGUGUCAAUUUGAGUAAGAAACACCCGACUAGAUUGCUUCAGCCUAGUUCUGGGCGUGCAAGACCCAUCUGGGGGAGGACUGUUGCCAGAAUGGAAUGAAAGGGGAACAGGGAAGGCUGGCUUCCAUUUUUUCAGAGGGGCUCCAGUCUUUGCCUUCACCUUGGAUGUCAUCCGGCUUCCAGUGCUGACCCUUUGGCCUCCUGAUACAGACAUGCACAGGACACUACAGUGAGCUCCAGGCCUUCGGCUGUAUCCUUCCAAUCUCCAGGACACAGAAAGACCUUUGGCUCUCUUCCACACCUGACUCUAGAUGGCCAUUGGCCCCCCACUCUUCUGCCUGUCUCCACAGCCUGUUCUCUGGGCCUGCACACAGCUGCCGUCCGGGUGCACCUGCCUGGGUCCCAGUCAGCAGGGAGCCGGACAUGAAAGACUGGGCAGUUCAAGAGGAACCCCAUAUGCGGGGAAAGCUAAAAAAUGACAUUGGAUCCCCACAGCCAGAGGCAGACUCAGGAAAGACAGAGAGGACCUGGAGCUUGCACCAAGGGCUGACCCUGGGCUCAUCACAGAGCCCACUCACAGGCAGUUAAACAGAACAACACAGUGACAAUGGGAACAGCGCACACCGUGGGCGAGGGGGAGAUCUGAUUCCUAGAAAUUAUGACAUUGAUGGGUUACAAUGUCCAGUUUUCAAUAAAAAUCUCA